RNAcentral lists this ribosomal RNA (481 nucleotides) under uncultured bacterium. RNAcentral's name for it is "partial 16S ribosomal RNA". It matches the Rfam family "Bacterial small subunit ribosomal RNA", at positions 27 to 507 of the family's 1533-position model. The record is from RNAcentral.
GGACGAACGCUGGCGGCGUGCUUAACACAUGCAAGUCGAACGAUGAAGAAAAGAAUCGAAGCUUCGGCAGAAAUUCAUUUCGGAUUAGUGGCAGACGGGUGAGUAACGCGUGAGCAACCUACCUCUUACAAAGGGAUAGCCUCGGGAAACCGGGAUUAAUACCAUAUAACAUUGUGACGAAGCAUUUCGAUGCAAUCAAAGCUACGGCGGUAAGAGAUGGGCUCGCGUCCCAUUAACCGGAUGGUGAGGUAACGGCUCACCAUAGUGACGAUGGGUAACCGGCCUGAGAGGGUGAACGGUCACACUGGAACUGAGACACGGUCCAGACUCCUACGGGAGGCAGCAGUGGGGAAUAUUGCACAAUGGAGGGAACUCUGAUGCAGCGACGCCGCGUGAGUGAUGAAGGAAUUCGUUUCGUAAAACUCUGUUCUAUGGGAAGAAAAGGACUGUACCAUAGGAGAAAGCUCCGGCUAAAUACGUG